RNAcentral lists this ribosomal RNA (687 nucleotides) under Triticum aestivum (bread wheat). Its description in RNAcentral is "partial small subunit ribosomal RNA". Lineage: Eukaryota; Viridiplantae; Streptophyta; Magnoliopsida; Poales; Poaceae. The record is from RNAcentral.
CAGCACACCGGAACACCCUCAUCGCGGCCGUCACGAAGUCUCACAGCAGAAAAGCCAUCCUCGAGAUGGUAGAUGAGCGGCUGAGAGGGGAACUGAAUCAGUGGUGGUGGCAGAUGGAGCGUGUCAUGGUCACCGGGCUGAAAUGUGUCGAGCCGGCGCGUGACGAGCGACCAUCUAUCAAAGAUGUCAUCGACCUGCUCUCCAAGCACGAGCAAUCUCCGGCAUCUAGCCGUUACCUGAAAGAUACUUCAAUGAGCAAGGAUCGAUUUCCUUACAUACUUACUAGGAAUGUGGCUCUCGCAAAUGCAAGGGCAACAUCUUUAGCGUAGUGAACAUGUCCAUGAAAUAAUAUGAGUUCAUAGAUAUUAAAUAUGUGGAAUUUUGAAUCCUAUAGCUCUAUAGGCGUGUACAAGGUUAUGUUAAGUAAAAUAUCUCUAGUGUGGCAAAUAUUUUUGAAGCACGUUAAUUUGUGGGCACAAUUUAAGUAUCAGUUAAUCUAACCACCAGUCGACUGGUGGUUAGCGUCAGGCACGUACGAAAAAAGAAAGGGCGGCCAAGACGGGAUUCGAAUCCCCGACCUCCUGCAAGUGCACCAUCCCAGUAACCAACUCACCCAGACUUCAUUGUUGUAAAAAGUGCUCAGACUAUGAAUGUAUUGCGUACUGGCUCUUUGUUCAACGUUUAAAA